UGUCUUCAGGGCGGGGUGUAAGUCCCCACCGGCGGUAAAGUCCGCGAGCGCUUCAAAGGAGAGAUUCUUCGGAAGGCAGCAUGAACCGGUGUAAUUCCGGUACCGACAGUGACAGUCUGGAUGGGAGAAGACG
Molecule: non-coding RNA, 133 nt
Filed under: human gut metagenome
Description: FMN riboswitch (RFN element)
Rfam family: FMN riboswitch aptamer (RFN element)
About the family: The RFN element is a highly conserved domain that is found frequently in the 5'-untranslated regions of prokaryotic mRNAs that encode for flavin mononucleotide (FMN) biosynthesis and transport proteins. This element is a metabolite-dependent riboswitch that directly binds FMN in the absence of proteins. In Bacillus subtilis, the riboswitch most likely controls gene expression by causing premature transcription termination within the 5' untranslated region of the ribDEAHT operon and precluding access to the ribosome-binding site of ypaA mRNA.
Source: RNAcentral